ACUCGCUUGUGGGCGUGCUGGCAGCAUAUGGCAACAUGUUCGAUUGUGCAUCAAGAAUUCAGCAUAGCAAGUUCGUAUGAAGGUCUGGUUAUUAAAUGGGUACAUAGUUCAAUAGUAAUAUCCUCUAAAACGCUCUGGUGACAAACUUUGCUGCCCUGUUUCCAAUUGUCCACAUGGCUGGGAGAACCUAUUCAACACUGCACAGCUGAUUCAAAUGGUCAACUCCUCAUCAAGCUGCAAGUGAUACCUUGUAACUGGAGAUUACUUCAAAAUUAUUGCCUACAGUUAACGUGUAGGGCACUGCAAGGUUGGGUGACCAGGGCUAUCUGGGACUUCCUCCUGGAGGAAUUCAGGUGUGUGAAGGCUACCUGUGUCCUGCAUAACUUCAUGUGGAUGGACACGAGAACCAGGGGGGAUCUGCAGCUCGCCGCAGUGUGCCAGAGGAGAAGUCUGCUGCUCUGCAGGAUGUUUCAAGGAUGGUGUCCAACAAUGCAACAAGAGGCAAUCCAUGUGCGAGAGAUUUUCACCUCCUAUAAUUAGACACCCUAUUACCUACACACUCAUGUCUCAAUUUGAUUGAUGGAUUGUGUUGUGCAGUAAGCAGGCUCAGGUGUAUAACUGUGUCUACUUCCACCUUAAAAGAAUAGGCAAGAGGGCCAACCAUGGAGAAUAGUAAGACACUUCAUUAUUUGUUUAACUACGCUAUAUUUUUUUGUCCUCGUGUGUCCGUUCAUGUUUUUCAGCAUAAAGUACUCCGCAGCUGCAGAUUCCUGUUUUCCCUUUAACUACCUUAUUUUCUCAAUAACAGUCUCUCUGUCACGGUUGUCGUCUGGAAUGGAGGACCAAAACGCAGCAG
Salmo salar (Atlantic salmon) is the source of this 856-nucleotide non-coding RNA. Lineage: Eukaryota; Metazoa; Chordata; Actinopteri; Salmoniformes; Salmonidae. The record is from RefSeq and is a predicted model, not a curated record.